RNAcentral lists this ribosomal RNA (499 nucleotides) under uncultured bacterium. RNAcentral's name for it is "bacterial SSU rRNA". It matches the Rfam family "Bacterial small subunit ribosomal RNA", at positions 28 to 526 of the family's 1533-position model. The record is from RNAcentral.
GAUGAACGCUAGCGGCAGGCUUAACACAUGCAAGUCGAGGGGUAUAGGAAGCUUGCUUCCUAGAGACCGGCGCACGGGUGCGUAACGCGUAUGCAAUCUACCUUUUGCAGAGGGAUAGCCCAGAGAAAUUUGGAUUAAUACCUCAUAGUAUGCAGAGUUGGCAUCAACAUUGCAUUAAAGUCACAACGGUAAAAGAUGAGCAUGCGUCCCAUUAGCUAGUUGGUAAGGUAACGGCUUACCAAGGCAACGAUGGGUAGGGGUCCUGAGAGGGAGAGCCCCCACACUGGUACUGAGACACGGACCAGACUCCUACGGGAGGCAGCAGUGAGGAAUAUUGGACAAUGGGCGCAAGCCUGAUCCAGCCAUGCCGCGUGCAGGAUGACGGUCCUAUGGAUUGUAAACUGCUUUUGUACGAGAAGAAACACUCCUACGUGUAGGAGCUUGACGGUAUCGUAAGAAUAAGGAUCGGCUAACUCCGUGCCAGCCGCCGCGGUAAAAC